Molecule: long non-coding RNA, 1056 nt
Filed under: Anas platyrhynchos platyrhynchos (common mallard)
Lineage: Eukaryota; Metazoa; Chordata; Aves; Anseriformes; Anatidae
Description: lncRNA (ENSAPLG00000029194.1)
Source: RNAcentral
AUGCUCCAGGCAGCCACACGAGCACCAGCCCUGGCUUCCAGCCAGGGGAAGGAGAUGCUGCUCGCACCUUCCCAAACCUGCGAAAGAGAAGGGGCCAGGGAGCAAAAACCUCUCUCCGAAAGCUCCUCGGCGCUGGGAGGUGCGAGAAGCGCCCCCCUCCCCGUGGCACCAGGUGGGCACCGAACUGCAGCUCCUCUGCGAAGGCGAACGCCCUCGCUGAGCACACCUCAUCGCCUUCCUGAGGUUCCUCCGCGGGGAAAAAGCCUACUGAAAACAAAAUACAAAUAUUUAGGCUCGUUUCCACCCGAGCAAACGCGUAGAGGGGACAGCUGCGGUGUUAGCUGGUGCGGUAUCAUCUCACGAGGUGCAGUGGGGAAAAAAAUCCAGCCCCUGGGAAAUUCCUUGGGGUGUGGAGGCUCAGGAUGCUAUCGUGUGCUUUACACCAAUUUUGCAGAGCUUUUUCCAGCUUGGCAGCGCUGUGCCCCAAGCUGCCAGGACAGCUGGGCCCUCCAGGCAAACCCUCCUGCAGCUGGGUGGCUCCACGGCGAGGAUCAGCCCUGGAGCACCCGCUUUUGGGUGCCUUUUGGGAAGGGCUGCAGCAGCCCCGCUGAUCUCCAGCCCCAAAUCUCCCCGUGCUGGGGACCAGCACAGCUUUCCCAGUUGAGGCUGGGCGCACACAGCCACACGGACAGUGGGGGGCUUUUGGAGACCUGCAGCCCUUCAGAGGGAGCUGAAGACGGACACAAGCCAGAAAUUCCCCCAUCGGUGGCGGUCAGGUGGAAGCGCAAUUUCCACGGGAAAAACAGGCGAGGCUCUGCAGGGCUGCCUGCAUCAGCUCCGACAGGGAAUUCCUCCAGGGUGUGCCAGAAACCCAGGCUUGGAGGCGGCUCGGGAGGAAGGAUGCUGCCGUUGCCAGGACACGGGCUGGAAGCGGGGUUCAUUCGGGGUCAGAAACCAGCCUCAGUCUGCGCCCAGAGAGUAAAAGGGAGAGGAGAAGGGGCAGGGGGUGAGGGAUGGGCACCUCUGGGAGAGAGGUGUCACUCAGCCGCUGCCUGA